RNAcentral lists this ribosomal RNA (253 nucleotides) under uncultured bacterium. RNAcentral describes it as "partial 16S ribosomal RNA". It matches the Rfam family "Bacterial small subunit ribosomal RNA", at positions 524 to 776 of the family's 1533-position model. The record is from RNAcentral.
UACGAAGGGGGCUAGCGUUGCUCGGAAUUACUGGGCGUAAAGGGAGCGUAGGCGGAUAGUUUAGUCAGAGGUGAAAGCCCAGGGCUCAACCUUGGAAUUGCCCUUGAUACUGGCUAUCUUGAGUACGGAAGAGGUAUGUGGAACUCCGAGUGUAGAGGUGAAAUUCGUAGAUAUUCGGAAGAACUCCAGUGGCGAAGGCGACAUACUGGUCCGUUACUGACGCUGAGGCUCGAAAGCGUGGGGAGCAAACAGG